This 78-nucleotide transfer RNA is filed under the name filamentous cyanobacterium CCP2. Its description in RNAcentral is "tRNA-His". It matches the Rfam family "tRNA". Rfam says of the family: Transfer RNA (tRNA) molecules are approximately 80 nucleotides in length. Their secondary structure includes four short double-helical elements and three loops (D, anti-codon, and T loops). Lineage: Bacteria; Bacillati; Cyanobacteriota. The record is from RNAcentral. RNAcentral also lists the same sequence under 1 other name.
GUGCUUAAAGUCGAAGUGGUCGAGACACCAGCCUGUGAAGCUGGACAUUAACGGGUUCGAGUCCCGUUAAGCACCCCU